AUCUUGGGAGUUGAAUAAUCUCGUAUAACGUCGGGGAUAUGGCCCGAAAGUCUCUACCCGAAAACCUUAAAUUUUUGGACUACGAGUAAGCGUCAAUAAGAG
Molecule: non-coding RNA, 102 nt
Filed under: Paenibacillus sp.
Lineage: Bacteria; Bacillati; Bacillota; Bacilli; Caryophanales; Paenibacillaceae
Also listed under: 1 other name
Description: Guanine sequence
Rfam family: Purine riboswitch aptamer
About the family: Riboswitches are metabolite binding domains within certain messenger RNAs that serve as precision sensors for their corresponding targets. Allosteric rearrangement of mRNA structure is mediated by ligand binding, and this results in modulation of gene expression. A class of riboswitches that selectively recognises guanine and becomes saturated at concentrations as low as 5 nM.
Source: RNAcentral